GACGAACGCUGGCGGCGUGCCUAAUACAUGCAAGUCGAACGCUUUUUCUUUCACCGGAGCUUGCUCCACCGAAAGAAAAAGAGUGGCGAACGGGUGAGUAACACGUGGGUAACCUGCCCAUCAGAAGGGGAUAACACUUGGAAACAGGUGCUAAUACCGUAUAACACUAUUUUCCGCAUGGAAGAAAGUUGAAAGGCGCUUUUGCGUCACUGAUGGAUGGACCCGGGGUGCAUUAGCUAGUUGGUGAGGUAACGGCUCACCAAGGCAACGAUGCAUAGCCGACCUGAGAGGGUGAUCGGCCACACUGGGACUGAGACACGGCCCAGACUCCUACGGGAGGCAGCAGUAGGGAAUCUUCGGCAAUGGACGAAAGUCUGACCGAGCAACGCCGCGUGAGUGAAGAAGGUUUUCGGAUCGUAAGACUCUGUUGUUAGAGAAGAACAAGGAUGAGAGUAGAACGUUCAUCUCUUGACGGUACCUAACCAGAAAGCCACGGCUAACUACGUGCCAGCCGCCGCGGUAA
Molecule: ribosomal RNA, 523 nt
Filed under: uncultured bacterium
Lineage: Bacteria
Description: partial 16S ribosomal RNA
Rfam family: Bacterial small subunit ribosomal RNA
Source: RNAcentral